GCAUGCCGCGUGUGUGAAGAAGGCCUUCGGGUUGUAAAGCACUUUUGUUGGGAAAGAAAUCUUGUCGGCCAAUACCCGGCAAGGAUGACGGUACCCAAAGAAUAAGCACCGGCUAACUUCGUGCCAGCAGCCGCGGUAAUACGAAGGGUGCAAGCGUUACUCGGAAUUACUGGGCGUAAAGCGUGCGUAGGCGGUUCGUUAAGUCUGUCGUGAAAGCCCUGGGCUCAACCUGGGAAUUGCGAUGGAUACUGGCGGGCUAGAGUACGGUAGAGGAUGGUGGAAUUCCCGGUGUAGCGGUGAAAUGCGUAGAGAUCGGGAGGAACACCCGUGGCGAAGGCGGCCAUCUGGACCAGUACUGACGCUGAGGCACGAAAGCGUGGGGAGCAAACAGGAUUAGAUACCCUGGUAGUCCACGCCCUAAACUAUGCGAACUGGAUGUUGGGCACACUUAGGAGCUCAGUGUCGAAGCUAACGCGUUAAGUUCGCCGCCUGGGGAGUACGGUCGCAGGACUGAAACUCAAAUGAAUUGACGGA
RNAcentral lists this ribosomal RNA (534 nucleotides) under uncultured bacterium. RNAcentral's name for it is "bacterial SSU rRNA". It matches the Rfam family "Bacterial small subunit ribosomal RNA", at positions 392 to 917 of the family's 1533-position model. The record is from RNAcentral.